GGAUGCUCACGGCUGAAACACUUCCCAGAGAAUGCACUGGUGUAGGUGUCCAGACUGACUCCAGGUGCAGCCCCACGUACAGCAGACUGCAGUGAUAUUGGCUGGCGGGGAUAACAGCAUGAAAGAAUGAAAGAAAAGAGACGGUCGCAACCGCUUCACCAGGCCCAGAUGGGGAAAAGCCACCCUUGGACACUGUUGUAAUCUGGCAGCUGGGGAUCCAACAGCAUCUAGGGAGCACCAACCACGAGGUUUUUUCACAGUUGCUCAACAUUAUGGAAAGAGGUCACACACCAGAGGAGCAAGACAAUAAUGAUAUAAUGGCAGUAGACAUUGAAAGUCAGAAAGUUAAAGCUCUAUAACCAUUAAAACACAAAUUAGCAUGAUCACAUGUCAAAAUAUACAACAGAAACAUCCCUAAAUGCUCAGAAGUUCUCAAGUGGCAUUUUUCUUACUUUUUGAUUAUUACUGCUGGAAAUACUUUUUCUUCAGUUUGUGUGUGGACUGUGAAACUGAUGUGUACCAAC
Mauremys reevesii (Reeves's turtle) is the source of this 524-nucleotide long non-coding RNA. RefSeq lists it as uncharacterized. The record is from RefSeq and is a predicted model, not a curated record. Lineage: Eukaryota; Metazoa; Chordata; Testudines; Geoemydidae. The transcript has 3 exons.